This 253-nucleotide ribosomal RNA is filed under the name uncultured bacterium. RNAcentral's name for it is "partial 16S ribosomal RNA". It matches the Rfam family "Bacterial small subunit ribosomal RNA", at positions 524 to 776 of the family's 1533-position model. The record is from RNAcentral.
UACGGAGGGUGCAAGCGUUAUCCGGAUUCACUGGGUUUAAAGGGUGCGUAGGCGGGCAGGUAAGUCAGUGGUGAAAUCUCCGAGCUUAACUCGGAAACUGCCAUUGAUACUAUCAAUCUUGAAUACCUUGGAGGUGAGCGGAAUAUGUCAUGUAGCGGUGAAAUGCUUAGAUAUGACAUAGAACACCAAUUGCGAAGGCAGCUCACUACACGGUCAUUGACACUGAGGCACGAAAGCGUGGGGAUCAAACAGG